Symphalangus syndactylus (siamang) is the source of this 2065-nucleotide long non-coding RNA. RefSeq lists it as uncharacterized. The record is from RefSeq and is a predicted model, not a curated record. NCBI's taxonomy places the organism in Eukaryota, Metazoa, Chordata, Mammalia, Primates, Hylobatidae.
GCACAACGAUGAUUCUGCGCAUGUGCAUGGCGGGAGGAGGGGGAGAGUUGGAGUUUGCGCAUGCGUAAAAAUGUCGGGAAAGCAAGAGAAGGGGGGUUAAGAGGCGGUAUUGACAGCUGUGGAGGCAGCCCGCGUUCCCGGCAUGCCCCGGGGCGGCGGGGUUGGCUCUAACGAAUUUGAAUGAGGAGCCUCAGCGCUUUCGGCGCCAUUUUCGAGUGAUGCCUGAUCUCAUCAAUCUAGCGGGAGAGACAGGAUAACCUGUCCGAGAGUAUAGCGCCACUAUGACUCCGCCGGAAAAAUUACUUUAAAAAUCGCCAAAAAUUACUUGGAGCAAAGGGCAGUCGGCGGAGCUUCGCCAAGGCUGGCGCAGUCGGUUUUGACCUGUAGCAGAGAACCAAUUCUGGAGAACAACCUCACUUCUUUGAUUGAAUACUCACAUAAUGCAUUGGAACAUGACAUGAGAUUAAGGUUUAAUAAUGAUAGAAUGAAGACCAUAAUAAAAGAGACCUCUGCUUAGCUCUGCAAUUCUUACCUUUCUUACCUAUUUGAUGAAGAUGUCUUUUGAAAGAUGUACUGCAAGGAACAAAAUGUUUGUAAAUUCUGCUUUUACCAAGGUUUCUUUUUUAAUUGAUGCCAAAGACUUCCAAUAUUGAACAUCUUAAGUCUGUUACUUGGAUUAUGGAUUGAGUUUGGAGCUUACUCAGAGGACUACAGGAGAGUAUCCAGGAGGUGGAUAAUUACUGUACCUUUCUCAUGGAAAAAGUUUUAAUUUAAAGUGUUAUUUCUCAUUGAAUACUAUCAAAAAGGAAAAAAAAAAUGACCUAAACUUUUGAGAUAGAUUUGGCUCUAGUAAGUAUUUAGAUAUAUCACUUGCAUAUCUGGGAGAAGAAAUGAGAGACUAUCAUCGUUACAUUCCCAUCUACUAAAAAAUUUUAUUUUAUACAUGUCAAGGGAUUACUUAUAACUUCUAUUUUAUUACUAAUAGCUUGAACCCUUUUAAUGAAGACUUAACUCCUCCACCAGAAAUUUAAGUUUAUGUUCUUACUUUGUUUACUUAUAAAAUACAUCUCAGGUAUUUCGGAUGUCUUUUUUUUUUCUCAGCCUAUAUGCAAUGAAAAAUAUAUUGGCAAAAUAAAUGUUUAAACCUUUUACGUUAAAAUUACUGUGAAAGAUGACAAGUUAGCUGCUGUUUUUGUCUACGUUAUACUGAAAUUAAAUGUUUAUAAUUUAUAUUUUGGGUUUAUUUAUAAAUCAUGGAAUUUAUGCAAAAACAUGAGUAGUACAGAUUCCCUCUAAUUCUGUAGGACUUUGAAUAAUGUGAUAUUUUUCUUAUAAUUGGACCCUUGUGUUUUGAAGAAAUGCCAACUGUUUGAAGAAUCUCCUUGUUAUUUGUAUUACUUGCUAUAGGGUUAGAUGUUGAGAAAUUCUGCUGACAAAAAAUUUUAAGCCAGUUUUACACUAAAUAUUCCUCAGUCUGAUUAAUUUGUUAUUGGAUGUAUUCUGUGUCUUUUGUAAUUUGUAACUUUUAUCUACUUAGCACGAAUGAUUCUAUUAAAGAAAAUCUUUAGGAAGUAGUAGAAACUUUAAAUCGCCCCAGAGUUUGCCUGUUUCCACAUUUUAUUAUCUUAUAAUAUUUGGGAGUGCUUACACUUAUGGAGCUAACAUUUUUAGAGAUACAGGUUCUCAUAGUACCACUAAAACUUUCUGCCUCUUUGGACUGAAUACCUGUGAUUAUAACUAUACGGUAGUUUAAGUUUCCUUAUGAUUAGUCAAAAAUACCAUUUUAGUAUGAAGCAAUGAAGUCUAUUAUUUGUUGUCCCAUAAUUGAGAAAGCUUAAAUACACCUUUUAUUAAGAGUUUGUCAAUUCUAGCUUAGUCUACACAGAUUUUUAUAUCAAUUUGUUUAUAUUUUUAUUAAUGUCAUUUCUGGAAGUGUGAAAAUGUUAAUGUUCAACAAGCAACAUUAAAAAUAGGUUUGAAACAUUUAUAUAUAAGGAGGUACACAUUUAUUUACUGUUUAGGUACUGAAGAUUAUCACUGAAUAAAAAAUAUAUAUCCCAGCCCC